GACGAACGCUGGCGGCGCGCUUAACACAUGCAAGUCGAGCGAUGAAAUUUCGACAGAUCCCUUCGGGGUGAAGAUGAAAUGGAUUAGCGGCGGACGGGUGAGUAACACGUGAGUAACCUGCCUUUGACAUUGGGAUAGCCUCGGGAGACUGGGAUUAAUACCAAAUGACACUAACUGAUCACAUGAUCAAUUAGUCAAAGAAAUUCGGUCAAAGAUGGACUCGCGGCUGAUUAGCUAGUUGGUGAGGUAACGGCCCACCAAGGCGACGAUCAGUAGCCGGCCUGAGAGGGUGAUCGGCCACAUUGGAACUGAGACACGGUCCAAACUCCUACGGGAGGCAGCAGUGGGGAAUAUUGCACAAUGGGGGAAACCCUGAUGCAGCGACGCCGCGUGAGCGAAGAAGGCCUUCGGGUCGUAAAGCUCUUUUAUGAGGGAAGAUAAUGACGGUACCUCAAGAAAAAGCCCCGGCUAACUACGUG
Molecule: ribosomal RNA, 479 nt
Filed under: uncultured bacterium
Lineage: Bacteria
Description: partial 16S ribosomal RNA
Rfam family: Bacterial small subunit ribosomal RNA
Source: RNAcentral